UGGCAGGAAUGUUCUUGCUGAUGCAACUCUUACCUCUCGCAUAUCGAUCCAGAAAUUUUGUUGUGUAGUCUCACAGUUUAGCAAUUUCAAACGCGGGCAUACAGUUUAGCAAUUUCAAACGCGAACAAGAAAUAAAUGAUGCCUUUGGUCUGCCCCAAGGUAGUAGGAUUACUCCCCCAGGACAUACAGACUUAUCGGAAGUAUGCAUAGAGUUCAACAGACAGGCCUCAAGCAUUAGUACAAAAGGGGUACACAACCUGAAGGCCGCUGAAUUCAUAGUAUCGAAGCCAUUAGACGAGAAUUCAAGCAGAGUCAAUUGCGAAUGCUUCAAGGUAGUAGGAUUAUUCCCCCAGGGCAUUUUUCAAAUGUGCGGAAUCAAUGUACUCUAGCUUGCCUUGCAAUUCUAUUGGAUGGACUAGAGCAUACCCCACGGUAAUGACUGAAAAGUUCUCAAGGUAAUAUCAAGACCCCCCAUUUUGAUCUUGUGAUUUAACCAAGCUUCAUAAAACAAGAAGGAAUAUACUUACGUUAGCUUGCUCGCUCUGCAGUGAGCAGUCAGGCAUUUGUUCGAUUUACAUCAGAGGAAAUACGACGGCGACAAUCUUCAGAGCCCGACCACAAAGAUUUGUUUGGUUGGCAAGACCAUCUCUGGAAAAUUACAUGACAGAGCAAGCGCCAGACUCCUCAUAGACGACCACUUGUGGCCCCGGCGGGCAGUGGUAGUGGUAGCAACCAGGAUAACACUGUGGGGCAGAAUCAUGGCGCGUCCAAGCUUCUUGUGGAGGCGGUUGACGAGGCAGACCACAUCGAUGCCAUCACCGACCACCUCAAGUCGAUACAUCCGUUUGAGCGAGAAGCAAUUCUGGGCGCGGAGGGGGGGGGGGGGGGGGGGGGGGGGGGGGGGGGGGUGGCGGAGCAGAGAAAGAAACAAGUAACAUUGUCAAAUUUUGAGUUGCGCACAUUACAAUGUAGUUCACGGGAAAAGCUAAUCAUAUGUCUUUUUGUUAGAAUAAAUGGGCUUGGCUUGCUACAUGAAGAUUUUCUAAAAUUCCUAAUGUAAAUCACAAAGGCCCAUGUAUAAAUGGCAAAUGAAGGUGCAAUCUUUAGUCCCACCCUGAAAGUGAAGGAGGUGUGAGAAACGAAAUCUACCACUCCACUAAAUGUUCGGUAUAAAGAGAGAAAGAGAACACCACAUGUGAGUUCGCUUAUAUAUAGAGCGAGAGAGCAGGUUUUCGAAA
Triticum urartu is the source of this 1238-nucleotide non-coding RNA. The record is from RefSeq and is a predicted model, not a curated record. Lineage: Eukaryota; Viridiplantae; Streptophyta; Magnoliopsida; Poales; Poaceae.